UACGUAGGGGGCCAGCGUUGCUCGGAAUUACUGGGCGUAAAGGGUUCGUAGGUGGUGCGGCAAGUUGGGAGUGAAAUCUCUGGGCUUAACUCAGAGGCUGCUUUCAAAACUGCCGCGCUCGAGUGCGAGAGAGGUCAGUGGAAUUGCAGGUGUAGCGGUGAAAUGCGUAGAUAUCGGGAGGAACACCAAUUGCGAAGGCAGCUCGCUGGGACGUCACUGACGCUGAGACGCGAAAGCGUGGGGAGCAAACAGG
This 253-nucleotide ribosomal RNA is filed under the name uncultured bacterium. RNAcentral's name for it is "partial 16S ribosomal RNA". It matches the Rfam family "Bacterial small subunit ribosomal RNA", at positions 524 to 776 of the family's 1533-position model. The record is from RNAcentral.